AGCUUUUAGCAACGGAUCACUUGGUUCUGGCAUCGAUGAAGAACGCAGCGAAAUGCGAUAAGUAAUGCGAAUUGCAGAAUUCAGUGAGUCAUCGAAUCUUUGAACGCACAUUGCGCCCUGUGGUAUUCCGCAGGGCAUGCCUGUUCGAGCGUCAGUGCAACACUCAAGCUCAGCUUGGUCUUGAGCCUAGCCUGUAAAAUGGCGAGGCUUUAAAAUUAGUGGCGGCGUCAUUAGGCUCUAAGCGUAGUAAUUACCCUCGCUAUUGAGUUCUGGUGAUAGCUUGCCAACAACCCCAACUUUCUAAGUUUGACCUCGGAUCAGGUAGGGAUACCCGCUGAACUUAAGCAUAUCAAUAAGCGGAGGCU
This 365-nucleotide unclassified non-coding RNA is filed under the name uncultured Chalara. Its description in RNAcentral is "sequence contains ITS2". The stretch from base 1 to 154 matches the Rfam family "5.8S ribosomal RNA". The record is from RNAcentral. Lineage: Eukaryota; Fungi; Ascomycota; Leotiomycetes; Helotiales.